Molecule: ribosomal RNA, 465 nt
Filed under: Vreelandella stevensii
Lineage: Bacteria; Pseudomonadati; Pseudomonadota; Gammaproteobacteria; Oceanospirillales; Halomonadaceae
Description: partial 16S ribosomal RNA
Rfam family: Bacterial small subunit ribosomal RNA
Source: RNAcentral
CCUACGGGUGGCUGCAGUGGGGAAUAUUGGACAAUGGGGGCAACCCUGAUCCAGCCAUGCCGCGUGUGUGAAGAAGGCCCUCGGGUUGUAAAGCACUUUCAGUGAGGAAGAACGCCUGGUGGUUAAUACCCAUCAGGAAAGACAUCACUCACAGAAGAAGCACCGGCUAACUCCGUGCCAGCAGCCGCGGUAAUACGGAGGGUGCGAGCGUUAAUCGGAAUUACUGGGCGUAAAGCGCGCGUAGGUGGCUUGAUAAGCCGGUUGUGAAAGCCCCGGGCUCAACCUGGGAACGGCAUCCGGAACUGUCAAGCUAGAGUGCAGGAGAGGAAGGUAGAAUUCCCGGUGUAGCGGUGAAAUGCGUAGAGAUCGGGAGGAAUACCAGUGGAGAAGGCGGCCUUCUGGACUGACACUGACACUGAGGUGCGAAAGCGUGGGUAGCAAACAGGAUUAGAUACCCUAGUAGUC